CACGCUGUAAACGGUGGGUACUAGGUGUGGGAUCCUUUCCGUGGGUUCUGUGCCGUAGCUAACGCAUUAAGUACCCCGCCUGGGGAGUACGGCCGCAAGGCUAAAACUCAAAGGAAUUGACGGGGGCCCGCACAAGCGGCGGAGCAUGCGGAUUAAUUCGAUGCAACGCGAAGAACCUUACCUGGGUUUGACAUAUGCCGGAAGCAUUCAGAGAUGGGUGUGCCUUUUUGGUCGGUUUACAGGUGG
This 246-nucleotide ribosomal RNA is filed under the name uncultured Propionibacteriaceae bacterium. RNAcentral's name for it is "partial 16S ribosomal RNA". It matches the Rfam family "Bacterial small subunit ribosomal RNA", at positions 796 to 1041 of the family's 1533-position model. The record is from RNAcentral. Lineage: Bacteria; Bacillati; Actinomycetota; Actinomycetes; Propionibacteriales; Propionibacteriaceae.